This 316-nucleotide ribosomal RNA is filed under the name uncultured bacterium. RNAcentral describes it as "bacterial SSU rRNA". It matches the Rfam family "Bacterial small subunit ribosomal RNA", at positions 28 to 334 of the family's 1533-position model. The record is from RNAcentral.
GAUGAACGCUAGCUACAGGCUUAACACAUGCAAGUCGCGGGGCAGCAUGAGGGUUGCUUGCAAUUCUUGAUGGCGACCGGCGUACGGGUGAGUAACGCGUAUCCAACCUGCCCAUCACUACGGGAUAACCCGUUGAAAGUCGGACUAAUACCCUAUAUGCUCACGAGAGGCACCUGCCUUGGUGAGGAAAGAUUUAUCACUGACAGAUGGACAUGCGUCCCAUUAGCUUGUUGGUAGGGUAACGGCCUACCAAGGCAACGAUGGGUAGGGGAACUGAGAGGUUUAUCCCCCACAUUGGUACUGAGACACGGCCCAA